Parus major (Great Tit) is the source of this 9407-nucleotide long non-coding RNA. RefSeq lists it as uncharacterized. The record is from RefSeq and is a predicted model, not a curated record. NCBI's taxonomy places the organism in Eukaryota, Metazoa, Chordata, Aves, Passeriformes, Paridae. The transcript has 4 exons.
GAUUUAGUCUGAGAAUAACACUGAUAGCACACUGAUGUUUUCGUUGAGGCUGUCCAGUGCUUACCCUAAGUCAAGGACUUUUCAGUUUCCCAGGCUCUGCCAGGGAGCAGGUGCACAAGACUGGGAGGGAGCAUGGACAGGACAGCUGACCUGAACUGGCCAAAGCACUGGCCAGUAAUAGCCAUAUGCUAUUCCAUAGCAUAGAAUGUCAUGUUCAGUGCAUAAACUGGGAGGAGCUGACAGGAAGCCACUGACCACUGCUGGGGGAUGGGCUGGGCAUCGAUCCCAUGGAAGCAGGGAAAGAUAAUAAAAAACACAAAAUGCAUUGGCUUACAAGAGUUUGCGCUGUGGAUGUAGAAGAUCAGAAUUAUGUGAUUCUUGGCAGACUUGAUUUCAACUAGAAGACAGGACUUGAUGUGAACUUCUUGACCUGUGAGAGGCACUUUGUGAAAGAGGGACUGCGAGAGAGUAUGUGAUGUGCAAAGCCUACGCAUUCAACUUCCACGCUCUGAGGGAGCACGAGGAGAAUUCUGAAUAGGCUACAUGAAGUAUGGGCUAAGAAGGUGGAAAAGUGCAGAACUUCCAGAUGGUAGUCCAUAAUCUUUAGUGACCUCAUGCACGAAAGUAUUCAUGAGGUUUUCCUUUUGUGCAGGCAAUAUUAUCAGGCCAAAUAUAAAAUACAGAAUUAAUCAUUCAGAUUUUUAUUUAUUUUUGUCUAUUAGUCUAGUUUAAGAAACAGAGUGCAAUCUGAUAGCUUGUCACCAGAGGAGGAAGUAACAUGUGCUGAAGAGGCCCCACUGCAUAAUAAGUUUUCAGAAAGAGAGAAGCAAAAUGUCCUGUUUGCUGAUGGGUCCUGUCAUAUUGUAGGGAAGCAUCAGAGACAGAGAACGCUUGUACGGAGUUCCCUGCUCCGUACAGAAACUGCUGAGGGAGAAGGUUUGCAGAUGUGAAAGCUAUCCAGCUGGCUUUAGGCAUUGCUGAAUGAGAGAGAUGGCCAGCAUUUUAUCUCUACACUGACUCAUGGAUAUUGGCAAAUGCCCUAUGGGAGUGGUUGCAGUGAUAGAAGCAGAACAAUUGACAGAUAUGGCAUUGUGGCAUUGACACUGCUGUGGCAAGAUACUGAUGCCUGGGUGAAGAUGCUCGGUUUGAAAAUACAUCAUGCAGAUGCUCAAGUGUUCAAGAGUUGGGUCACAGAAGAAAAUCAGAAUAACCAGCAGAUGGAUCAGGCUGCUAAGACUAAAGUAUCUCAGGUGAAUCUGGAUUGGCAACAUAAGUGUGAACAAUUUUUAGCUCAGUGGGCCCACCUUGGGCCCCUUGGGCCAUAAAGGAAGGAUGUAACCCACAGCUGGGCUCAUGACCAAAAGGUGGAACUUAUCCAUGGACACUCUCACAGAGGUUUUCCAUUAAUGUGAAACAUGAGCUGCAGUCAAGCAGGACAAGCUUGUGUGGAGGAUGGUGUCUGCAGUAUAAACACGGGAGGGCCUGGCAGGUUGGCUCUAACUCACUCCCACCAACCCACCAGGGCUGGGGCCACGUGCCUACAGUGGUGGAAGCAGCCACUGGAUGGCUGGACACAGAUCCAAGCCACUGCCCACAACACUGUCCUGGGCCUUGGGAAGCAGGACUUAUGGUGACAUGAUACUCCAGACAGACAACGGGACUCAUUUCUGAAAUAACUUAAAAGACACCUGGCCUAAAGAGCAGGGCAUGGAGUUAGCUGUAUCACAUCCCCUAUAAUGCACCAGCCUCCAGGAAAAUCUACUGGUACACUGAACUGUUAAAGAUGAAACACAACAAUAGGUGGUGGGGCAUUCAAAUGUUGGGAGCCACUGAUCACUGCUGGGACAUAUGCUGGGCAUCAAUCGGUGACCAAAUAUGUUGUGCACCAUUUGUUUCUCUUGGUUUUAUUCCCCACUCUCUCUCUCCUUUUUGUAACUAUAUUAUUAUUAUUAUCAUCAUCAUCAUCAUCACCAUUAUUCUCAGCUGUAUUUCAAUUCUUUAAUUGUUAUCAACCCAUGGGGUUCAUUGUUUUAUCCAAUUCUCCUCCCCAUCACACCAGAGAGGCAGGGGAUAGUGAGUGAGCAGCUGUGUGGUAUUUAGCUGCUGGCUGAGGUUAAAAUGUGACAUAAUUUCAUGAAGCAAAUGCUCUUCAGUUAAGCUUCAUGAUCCAUGGUAGAUGUCAAGCCAUGGCCCGAACGCAACCUUUUGAAGAUCUGCAAGAAUUACAGGCAGACAAGCAUUUGCUUGCUCUGUGGUGUAACAUUGCCCUCUCUAAUCUGAAAAGUUGAUCCAGCUGUGGGCAAGGUUUCUGUCUCCAUCUAUUUGGCCACCCAAAAUAAAUAUGGCAUGAUUUAACUCCUACUUAUCUUCCAAUACUGUAUUUUGAUAUUGGGUUCAAAUCAUCCAAUAUGGAAUGUACUUUGAAAAUAAUUUCAAUGUUUCACAAGUAAGUUUCCACUCUAACAAUCAUAUCCUGAGAUAUAAAGCCUCCUUUUCUCUUGGCAUGAAAAGCACUUUAUAAACAUUCAUUAAUCUCAUCCUUAUUUUGAAAAUGUGAGAAUUAGCACAUGCAAAUGUAGUUGCAAAAAUCCACAAAGUAAACCAAAGGAAGAAUAAAUCACAUCUGCUUCCUGGACAAUCUACUCCUCACACCUCAAGUUCCCAGCAGUUAAUCAUAAACUGAAGAAUUAGAUUGAAAUAACCUAUAAACCCGGUUCUUUGAAACACAGUACAUUUCAUAGAAAUGUUGUUCAGCCUUCUCUAUUCAGUAACGCUGUUUGGAAUUGGUAGGAGACUCAGAGUCUCAGAAGAACAUCAGCCAAUUUUCAGUUCUUAAUAAAGUAGUUGCUAACAGUAGCCUUAUAUAGGGAUACAUGUUUUGAUUGAAGAAGAAUUUUGAAACAUUUUAACCAUCAGUUUAAAACACAGACUGAUAAUUCACUGUUUUCUAUAAAAGUUUUGCCAUUUAAAACUUUUUCAAUAAUUUUAACAUCCGUUUUUUCCUGAGUUUGAUCACUUUUGUCAUGAGACCUGAAUGAAAUUGUACCCUAGUUUUACUAGAUACUUCCUGGAUAACUAGGACAUACUUAUGUGACUUCCAUCAGAGUAUAAGUCACAAAUUUUUACCUUUGGCAUUGGGCUUGAACACAUAUCAGUGACAAUUUUGCUUGUAAAGUCAGAUAGCUUUUUUGGCUGGGAAAACCCACAAGAAUCCUAAAACUGUUACUCUCUGUCAAGCUAUCUACAUACUCUAAGGCAUUCAAAUCAAGACCAAAUACGCUUGGAAAAGAUGGCAGCAUAUGCAGAACAUCAGCAUUUUGCUAAAUCACUUCUUUUGCCAAAUCAUGUCCUUCUCUGGAGGACUGCCAUCCAAACCUGGAGGAUGCAAAAAGCAAAGGAUUCGUGCUUUUUAAAGAAAUGCAAAAUGUUGUCAGAUCAUAAGAUAUAUGAAAAAAUACUGCCAGCUGUUCAAUUUACUGAAACAUUCUGAGAGAGUGUAGCGCAGUGUAGUCUGCAGAUGAGAGGGCAGAAAUUGGCUUAGGAUCAGGAAAUAUCUUGUACUGGAACAAUCAGCCAACAUGCAAAAAAGAGCCUGAAAAAACUGUAGGAUUAAUUAUGUAAUAUACAUAUGUUUCCCAUAAACUUGACUUUCAAAUUCAGAAUAAUUUACAAUAAUUAAAAGCAUUCUCCAGCUCAGGUCAAGAUAUCAGAGUUGUUAAAUACUGGUAACGACUAGUGCUUGAUAUAUUUUCUUUGACCUUUUCUACUACUGGAAUUUACUUCUUUUUAAAAUUUGUUUUUUUCUUUAGAAAAAUGGAAAGAUAAACAAGUCUUCAGGAGGAAAAAAAAGCCAUAGGGGGGAAAAAAAUCUGAGUUUUUCAAAAUUCUAGACUAUUUCUUUAUAUACCCACAUCACACCUAUAAUUUGAUUGAAUUUUAGCAUAUUGUUGACUCCUGUUCUCUUAAUUGCAUGCAGCUACUGAAUGAAAAGUGACAAAGAACGUGAUUUAUAUAUGACAUAAUAGAACAAGGUUUCAUUCUGCUUCUGUUUGUGCUAUUUGAAGGAAUAAGCUUUUAGGGUGCCAAAAUUAUUGCUAGCCUUGUUAACUACUUUGGAAGCAAAAUAGUUGACAUAAGGAUAGCCAAAUCUGUUCUUUUAUGAAAGUGUAAUAAGACAGAAAAUCAUUUCAUUGUCAGAUAAUGCUUCAGUUUAUACAACACAAUUAGAUUUGCAAUAAACUACAAACAGAUUUGAUAAUGUCACUUACAACAAUAAUCCUGGAAGAAGCAAGAGUGUAGCAUUUAGCUCCCUGACGCUGAUGAGCUGGAAGCAACCUGCCAGGGUGCAGCUGAUUACCCAAUCCAGAGUUACAUGCAUGAAACUGAAAACAGAAUUUGACAGGCUAUAGAUCAUAAUUUUUUUUAAUUUGUCUCCCAACUAAAUAACAAGUUUAGCUCUAGUCUACAUGCAUUAAUAUUCCAAACACUCGGCUCAUUAGUCUAAUCAAGGAUGGGAAGACCACACAAAUGUAUGGAUUGUUCAGCAACUCUGACCCCACUCAUUCACACACAUGUAAUAGCCCUGCCAUUCACUCAUGCAUAGAAAUGAUCACAAAAGCAAACAAUGCCGUGCUCACUCAUUCACUUAAUUAGUUAGUCACUGUUUCACUCACUUGGUUGACUCAGUCCUUCAUACUUUCAGCCUUAGAAUCUCAUCUCACUUUCCCAGUGAGUAAUGCCAAUUAAAAUUCACUUAAGGCCCACAUAGAUUGAGAAAAUCAGAAUUACACCCUCAGUCUGACAGAUCCUAAACUUCAUGAAGCAAUCCCUCAAUGUGACUUGGAGUAUUUUAAGACCUUAAGUAGAAAUUUAGUGCAGCACAGGCCUAGCCUAGCCUUUUAUUUUUCUUCUCUUUAGCUCUCUUGCUUUGAAAGCAAAAGACAGGUUUCUACCCUCAGUAUUAUUAAAGCACUAUUGAGAGCAUAAUCUGACUUUUAAAAUGUAAAUUAUAGACAAGGUUUCAACACUUACGUAGUUGUCAGCCAUCUAUCCUUCAAAAAACAUUUCCCAGCAACAGUCUGUGUAGAGACUCAGUUACUUAAUAAUUUUCUUGGCUAAGGUCCAGUUCCCUUAAUUUCUCUUAAUUGUAUGUUUCAUACCCCUCAUGAAGGCUUCAAAGAGGAGAGUGAUAUGUAACACUUUUAAAUUGUUAAACUAAUGACCUUUUUUAUUCUAUGAUUCAAGUUGGAUACAAAUUAAAAUUGGUCAUUCUUUCCAUUACAUAUUUGACCAGCAUAUUCAGCUGACACCUAAAAUGUAGUCUGACAAUCUCAUGACCAAGUCUUGCAUCAUUGCAUGACAGAGUUUAAUGUACAGAGGUCUGUCUGUAUUUGUUCAUACACAUAAAUCACUGCAAUGAUGAUCCUUUCAUAAAGCAUGGCCAUAAAGCAUGAAAAGCUUAUCAUAUUCUGAUUUCAGAAACAGAUUAUGCUCCCAGUAACAGCUUCCUCAGACCAGGAGCAGAGUAUAGUUUUUUUACCAUUUUGAUCUUCAGAGAUGUGUAUAUAAGAAAGAAAUGUGUAUUUGGCAAAGAAUAAUUAGAAAUAACUGGGAAUACUUAUACCUAGGAAGUGAACUCACUGACAGAAUGUCACAAUAGUGAAUGUCUCUGGGUGAUCCCUUUUCUAAAUUUGCAUUGAUUUGUGGAUGUCUUUAUUGAGGGCUAAGACUAGAAAAGAAAAAGCCUGGGGUGCAAAUGUGACAUAUUUUGUACGUUGUACAUCUCCAUAAACUUGUGUAAACAUUUUAUUUUUAUGACUUGCAUUAGUUUGUUUAAUGGAUGGAUGAGUAUCUUUCUCUUUUUACUUUCACUGUAAAGUCUUUACCAUACAUCUUCUUAUACUGAUUUUUGACAAUAUAACUUACCAGUCCUGGCUAGAUAUAACAGUUUAUCAAAUCCACUUUCAAACUAUGGGUAUUCCUAGUCUUCUCCCAUAAAGGCAUUCAGUUCCAUUCAGUUUAAUCAAGUCUGUGUUGGUACCCAUUGUUUUAAUUUUUACAUUUAUGAAUUUACUAACCUUGAAUAUGUCAGAUCUCUUGUGUACAUACAUAAUACAAUAUGAAUUAUUUCAAAACAGGCAUGUAGGGUUGCCUUAAGUGGAAACACUUCCUGCUAUUUUAGAUGUCAGGAUUAUGUAAUUCUAGGACAGAACAGGACAGAACCGUACCUUUACAAAGAAACUGAAAGCAGUCAUAACGUAAAUAUCAAAGAAAAAAUGAGGAGGGGUAAAUGAUGCUAAAAACAGAGGCAUAUGAAUGGCCAAUUCACACAGAGAUGGAAGGGUGGUUACACUUGGAGGUAAUCCUUUGGAGAUGAAAUGAUGAACAGGCAUUUGCUUUUGCAAACAGUCUGACUUAUCACUAUAUGUAUGCUGCAUGUGGCUGCCAGAAGAAGUACCUUCUGCAGCCAAACAUGAAGCUUUAAUUCUAGUCAGUGAACUCUGUCCAUCUGCUAGGGCAAUUUAGCCACUGCCUCUGGAGAACUUUGAUAUAUCAGAAACACAAUAUUCAAAUAGAGCUCGGGCUUUUAAUCUUGGAUUUGGCCUGAUGGGAGACCAUCAUCCAUCAACACUUAUUGAAUACCCACUUGAACCUUUAAAUUUGCAGCAAAAUUAUCCCCUGUGAGUGGCACACUCAGCAGUAUCAUACAGCUAUGCUGCCAAAACCACCUGGAAAUGGGGCCAGGGCUUUGCAAUUGAAGUUGUCAGGCAUAUAUCUUUGUGGCAAUUUUGUGAUAUUAUACCAUUUAGACCUUUAAGUGGUUUGAAUAUAAGAGUAAAUGCAGGUCAGGUAAGGAAUAAAAAGAAAAGGAAAAUGCAAGCAGGAAAGGAAGAGAAAGUAUUUUUCUCACACAACUUAAGCAGCUUCUGUGACCACAAAAUAAUCAGACGUAGAUUAUUUGAGGUAAAAGAAUUUCCUAUAGAUAGUCUUAAAGACAAGUUCAUUUCCAGUUGAAGGCAGGGGAAGUUAAUUAAUCGCUUUCACAAAUUGAAAUGGAUGAUCACAUGCAACAACCUUCAUCUCUUUGUGUUAAAGAAAGCUAAUGGGAAAUCACUUACACUGCUUCAGUUGUUGUAUGAAAACAACACUGGAGCUUUCCUUUCAGCAACAUUUCUCCUUAGAAAAAAGGAUACUCUCCUGCAUUCUAUAUAGAACCAUAGAUUGCACCACUCUUCUUCCCACCUUUAUUUGUCUUACACCACAGUAAAAUCUUGAACGCAAUUAUGACAGAGCUCAGGUGGCCCAGCAUAGUGAAAACACUUAAACCCAGUAUAAAAUACCUUUAUCAUGAGGCAAACACUCAGUGAAAGGUCAGGUAGCUUUCUGUUACUUGGGGAUGUGUGUGAGGUGUGUGGUACGCGCAACUGAUGCAUUUGCAGAGCUAGGAACCAGCUGCAUGUGUUACCAUUCACAGCAUCAGAUGCAGGCAGCCCAUAAAUGGCACAGAAAUCUGUGCAUUUUCCUGUAACAGCAUUGCAUCACAUCCUGGCUAUGUUUAGCAAUGUUUCAUCUUUUCUCCAUGCACGCAGUCUAUUUAGUUGUCAUUGUUAGACAAUAUGCUCACUCUUGCCACUGAACUUGUUUAGCACCUAAACUGAGAACAUCUCCUUUGGCUGGGUGAGUUUUCAGGUACCAGCUCUUGUGACAAAUGCAUCGAGUGAAUUGGCAGCCGCUCUUUAGUUGCACAGCAGGCAAAGAGUCCACAGCACAAGUAACUCCUGAUAGCAGGGACCCUUAGAGCAUGGUGUGGUGCUUCUUUUGGGGGCACACCUUUGGGUCUGCUGUCCUUUCCAGCACCCAGGCCCUGUGCCUUCAGCCCACAGCACUCUGCUUUUGAGUGUGGGGGAGGCCAGGAAGGACGGUGCAGGACUCUCAAGCACCAUUCCUGAGAUAUGGCAGGUCUGACAGACACUGUUGAAUGUGUUAUAUCUUGCAAUGGCUCGUCUCCUCCACAUUUAGCCUAAAGAACACCAUACCCAAAGUUACACUGGCCUAUUUUCUGAUUAUUAAAUUCAAUUCUGCAGAGAAGCAUAUGGCAAAUGGGGAAAAAAAAGAGGUCAGAAAGGAUGUGCAAAACAGUUCAUAAGGCUGCAUUUCUUUCAAAGAAAUUGGUCCAUAAGUACCAGUAGGAUAUUAAUGUAAAACAUUUUAAAACAUAGCUGAUCUCAGAGUGGCUAGUUACAAAACAUAAUCAUUAAUUGCUUGUUAAAAGUUAACACAAAAUCCCUGCUUUUUUAUAAUAAUGUUACAAGAGGCCAAUACUUUAAAAAGGGUAGGGUAUAUGCUGAUUUCUGUGUAAUCAUUGCUGUGGAUAAGAGAUAAAUGUUAUUAUGUCCCUAAACUAGGACAUUAAUAUAUGGAUGGCACUUCUUGAAUAAAUAAGAUAUAUUAAAAAAACUCAAAACACAAAGAAACAAAGAUCAUACUCCUAAACGUUCUGCUGGAUGAAAUAUUCCUUGCAGUGCUACCGGCUUUGAUUGUAGCUGUAGGUGUAAGCAGGACAGUGUGUGCAUCCUCCUUCCCUCCCCUCCAGCGAGCAAGGGAGCUGGAACACAAGCAGGCUGAAUCUCUCCAGGCUGUGUGACUAAUCCGUGGAGCCCACCAGCCCUCGCCACAGAGGAGACCCAGCCCAAAGCUGCACACAGCUUUGUCACGCUGCCAUUCCGGAGCACAAAGGAAAGCGACGCUGCCAUCAGCAAGUCACCAGCUUAUCUACAAGAAUUACAGAGGCAGCUAUCGGCGUGUCUGCUGCGCGCUGCUGGUGCUGGGAGCAGCCUUGCUGUGCCUCUCCUGGACGAAACCGGAUGGGCAAGGGGAAAACUGGCCAACAUCUCUCGUUAUUCCAGGCCAAGAUAGUUCCCGGACAGGUCUUGCUUGGUUCCCCCAGCCAGAUGGAUAAAAUGCCAUAUGAUUCUGACUACCAGGAAAUCUUAGGAUAAUAGUGCAUAAAGAACAACCUCUACUUUGGAAAUACCACCUUGUCUGAGACGUUAAAAAUAUCUAAAAGAAACCACUUAAUUGUGCUUUGUAGCAAAAUUUUAUUUGCACCUUCUUUUUCCUGGACUCAAAUGCCACUCUUUAAAGGGAGAAAAGAGGCACAGAAGUAUCCCCGUGGAAGCAAUCAUAGUAGGGACAUCCUCCGAUGCUGUCAAACAAUUAUUUUUAUGUCUAAUUGAUGCUGGUGAUCUAGCACUGACAAAUCCUUAUUCUACUAUUUUAGUCAUACAUAUAAUAUGAACAUACAUGUUACAUUCAUGUGUUGGGAACAUGGAAAAAGCUCUCCUACAGUGCAUUAGCUAUAAAAAAGGGUAAAUGCUUUCAACAGUUCCAGAAGGGUCUAAAACUGA